Molecule: non-coding RNA, 93 nt
Organism: Collybiopsis luxurians FD-317 M1
Lineage: Eukaryota; Fungi; Basidiomycota; Agaricomycetes; Agaricales; Omphalotaceae
Source: the annotation of a GenBank genome assembly
GGUUCGAUGGCGUAGUUGGUUAUCGCAUCUGUCUAACAUGGUAAAGCCAUUUGCAUGCACAGAAGGUCCCCAGUUCGAGCCUGGGUCGAAUCA